This 164-nucleotide unclassified non-coding RNA is filed under the name plant metagenome. Its description in RNAcentral is "partial contains small subunit ribosomal RNA, internal transcribed spacer 1, and 5.8S ribosomal RNA". The record is from RNAcentral.
UUUCCGUAGGUGAACCUGCGGAAGGAUCGUUACAAAUCCAAAUAUUUACGAUGUGAGUAGUGAAGGAGAAAUUCUCCACUCUCUAUCAUCACAUUACCUAUUGACACUUGUAUAUUAAUUUACGGAAGAAAGAAUACCUUUUAACAAUGGAUCUCUUGGCUCUU